RNAcentral lists this ribosomal RNA (557 nucleotides) under Lactococcus lactis subsp. lactis. RNAcentral describes it as "bacterial SSU rRNA". It matches the Rfam family "Bacterial small subunit ribosomal RNA", at positions 110 to 655 of the family's 1533-position model. The record is from RNAcentral. Lineage: Bacteria; Bacillati; Bacillota; Bacilli; Lactobacillales; Streptococcaceae.
GUAACGCGUGGGGAAUCUGCCUUUGAGCGGGGGACAACAUUUGGAAACGAAUGCUAAUACCGCAUAAAAACUUUAAACACAAGUUUUAAGUUUGAAAGAUGCAAUUGCAUCACUCAAAGAUGAUCCCGCGUUGUAUUAGCUAGUUGGUGAGGUAAAGGCUCACCAAGGCGAUGAUACAUAGCCGACCUGAGAGGGUGAUCGGCCACAUUGGGACUGAGACACGGCCCAAACUCCUACGGGAGGCAGCAGUAGGGAAUCUUCGGCAAUGGACGAAAGUCUGACCGAGCAACGCCGCGUGAGUGAAGAAGGUUUUCGGAUCGUAAAACUCUGUUGGUAGAGAAGAACGUUGGUGAGAGUGGAAAGCUCAUCAAGUGACGGUAACUACCCAGAAAGGGACGGCUAACUACGUGCCAGCAGCCGCGGUAAUACGUAGGUCCCGAGCGUUGUCCGGAUUUAUUGGGCGUAAAGCGAGCGCAGGUGGUUUAUUAAGUCUGGUGUAAAAGGCAGUGGCUCAACCAUUGUAUGCAUUGGAAACUGGUAGACUUGAGUGCAGGAGA